This is a small nuclear RNA of Oryctolagus cuniculus (rabbit), 130 nucleotides long. Its record names the gene U2. It matches the Rfam family "U2 spliceosomal RNA". Rfam says of the family: U2 is a small nuclear RNA (snRNA) component of the spliceosome (involved in pre-mRNA splicing). Complementary binding between U2 snRNA (in an area lying towards the 5' end but 3' to hairpin I) and the branchpoint sequence (BPS) of the intron results the bulging out of an unpaired adenosine, on the BPS, which initiates a nucleophilic attack at the intronic 5' splice site, thus starting the first of two transesterification reactions that mediate splicing. Lineage: Eukaryota; Metazoa; Chordata; Mammalia; Lagomorpha; Leporidae. The record is from Ensembl.
AUUGCUUCUCAGCCUUUUGGCUAAGAUCAAGUGUAACUUUUUAAUUACAAUACCUACUUUCUUUUUUUUUUUUCUAUGAAUUAAUUCACAGGCUUUUAUUGGGAUUUCACUCCCGGGUGAGGUUCCCCAG